Molecule: non-coding RNA, 38675 nt
Organism: Oryctolagus cuniculus (rabbit)
Lineage: Eukaryota; Metazoa; Chordata; Mammalia; Lagomorpha; Leporidae
Source: RefSeq, a predicted model, not a curated record
CCCUCGAGGCGGCCGCGGAGCGAGGGGAGCCGGCGGGAAAGCUGCGGGGCGUGUUUGUCGGGCAGUUGGGAGAAACUCCGCCCGCGGAGCGAGGCGGCGUGCGCAAAGUGGCGGCUUUCACCUCAGAACUCGGGGGAAGCCGGGCAGGAGCGGCCGGGAGGGUCGGGCCGGGCCGGACGGGGACCCGAGAUGGCCACCCCGGGGCAGGCUGCGCGCACGUUGCCAUGCCAAUGCUCGUGUUUGUUGCUUACGGUUAUUUUAGUACUGCACGAUUUAAAAAAAAAAAAAAAGUUACUUAGGAGGGAGCGAACUGCUUGAAUUGUCGUUAGUUCCGAAAAUAGGUUAAUCUUUCACACACUCGCCGCUGCAUUAAAUUGCCCUGUGGACUUGAAUAACAAACACAGCUCUCUGAAGCCCCGAAACCAGGGAACGUUCGAGCAGUUUCAGGUGCCAGGGUGCGCGUUCCGUGGGAAAAAAAAAAAAAAAGUAGGGGGACGCCGAGGCACUGGCCGGGCCGAGCAGUCAUCUUUUCGAAAUAAGCUUUGGAGCCCAUCAAAGUGGAGUUUCGUUGGAACUUCCCGGGUUAAGGAAUCGCGUUGACCCGGUUCCACCCACCAGUGGGGAGCGUCCCUGGAAGUGACUGCGAAGACUUAGCAGCCCACGACUUGGUUGAUUGUGGAUAGCCGGUGCUUUUGCUGGACCUUUUUCUCUUUAAUUUUCCAUGCUUCGUAACGCGCUGCGUGUAUGCCCCACCGUUUGCCAGGCGUUAGUUGCGGAGUCAACCGGUCACUCAGUCACUUUGAAAUGAUCUGGCACUAGCUCUGACCUGUAAUGCUCACCCUCCUCCCUUUUUUUUUUUUUCCCCUAUUUGAAAGCUGUUUGGAAAUUUCCAAUGUAAUGGUUUCAAAUUGAUAGGGAUGUUUUGAGCAGAAGUCUGGCAUAAACAGAUUAUACUGAGUGGAUAAUGUGUUUUGAAAUUUAAAGCUCAUCCAAGAAACUUCCUGGUUUGUGAUAGGUGCAGGACAUGGGACAGCCGAGGAAGUGCCCCAAGGAGCCUGGUUAAGGAUGAGAGAACCAGCUCUGGGUUUGGACCCCCUUACCCUUAAGGAUUUCUGACAUGUGGAGCAUUUUCCUUUGAUUAGGGAACUUUGGUCAUUUGUCAUUUUCAAGAAGUUCUCGCCACAGAAAGCCCUCACUUUGAAAUUGAGUCCUUGUGGCAUGCAGCCAGCCUUCUGAAGGUUUUCAGUAUGAGAUGUAAGGGAAGAUUAGUUUGGGAUUUCUUAAUUCUUUCCGAGCAGCUGCUUUUGUACCUGGUCCUGUGCUGUGAGCUCCCUUUAAAUCUGGCUUCUGCUAGUCGUUGCUGACAUAUGUUUGUAUACUGUCCUGAUUUGGGGUAUUAAAUUUUUAUAACUUAUAAACAUUAUUUCCUGUAACAUGUAAAUAAAUGUUUGUUUGUUUUCCUUCUCUCCUUUUAAAGGAAGCUGUAGAAAUGGAUGAAUCAGGACUUACUCAGCAUGCCCCCCUCCUGUAGGUGUAGUUGACCUUGGUGGCAUCAUGGAGGUCAUGUGUUCAUGGAGAUCAAGGGUUCUGAACAGUAAAUCACUUACGCUUCAACUUUCCUGGUAUUGCUUGUAUAUUCUAUCACAGACGAACAGCUGUUUUGGGGUGGGGGUGACACUUUUAGAGCUUGUUUGAGGAGAAAUGGAAGGAGGGCAGUAUUGCUGGGGUGAAUUUUUUGGCUUAGGAAAGCAGCUGUGCUCUACUAUAAGAAAGCUGGUAUUUACAAAGUUUAAGAUUAUAAAACAAAUUAGUGCUUAGUUAUCUGAGAAUUCUUCAAAAAGGAUUCACUAAAAGGCACCUUCAGAUAAUUCAUCCUUUUAUAUGGGUCUUAUGAAAUAUGGUUUGAUUUGUGAAAAAUCAGUUGGCAUACAACAAUUUAGUUGGCAUACAAAAUUAGUUGGCAUACAACAGAUUUUUUUUAUAGGUAAGGAUUUUCAGUAUGUUUCUUGAGUUGCCCUUUUCCCAAAAGUAGGGACAAAAUUAAAUUCAGUGGCGUCCUACUUAUAUGCCACCUAUUAAUGUUUUACCUGAAUGGCAAAAUUGUCUUCUGUUUUAUGAUUUACCAUUUAAGGAGUACAUUGAAACCUAAUUAAAAUGCUUUUCUCCAUUGGGUAGAAUUUUCUGGUCAGGUUUGUUGGGAACCCCAUCCAAAGUAUUUUGGUGACUGAGGUAUCAAAAGCACCUUGUUGUCAGACAUUCUCACGAGGAUGGUGGUCCUGCAGCAGAAGCCAACAAGUGGUUAUACCCAGACUACAGCAAAAUCAAAACAAAUAGAUUGAGUCUAAAGUCUACAAGCAGUGAAAACUGUUAACCUUGAAAUUUUCUCUUAAGUGCAAAUUAUUCAGAAUUAAAGGCUUAAUUUUCCUAAACUGUAAUCUAUUUGGGUCACUUGUGAAAAUUGUUAUUUUGAUAAAAUGACUACUCCCAAAUUUUCAAAGGUGCUUCCCCCCAACCCCUUUGUGUUAGUACAUUGCAUUUAUUUGGAGUCAUAGGAGAUGUUGGAUGAAGUUCUUGGGGUGUUUAAUUCCGAAACCAUUUUGCUUUGGUUAUGUAAGAAUAGGAACUUGCAUUAUAGUAUGAGUAGAAUUGCUUAUGAGGUUACCUCCAACUUUAUGUUGGGAUAAGGAGGUAAGGGAGGAUGGGGCCACAAACUGAAUUAAAGUUAAUUACUCAAGCUUAGUUUGCUUUAUACUGUUCAUGCUGUUUGGGUAAGAGUAACACCCUCCCCUCCCAGCCCCCCCAUUGGAGGGAAAUCUUGUAAAAGAAGAGAUUUGAAGAAGAGCUAACUAAGCAUAUGGACAAAGGAAUGUUCAAGGGAUGUUUAGUAUGCUUAAUAUUUGUUGUCGUACAUUAGACAAAAAGCAAGAAAUUAAUGCUAAAUUUAGGCUGAGAACCCACUUGGUUUUGCUUCUCUUGGCAUAAUUGAAUAUUAUAAAAUUGAAAGAACAGCUUGAAUGAUGCCAUUGAUUUUUUUUUUUUUAGUGUAGGCUCUUAGUUCCUUAAUUGUACCAGUGAGUAACAAUGAAGACACAAGAAGAUGUAAUAUUUAAUGUUUUUAUUUUUUUAAAUACCAAGAGACUGUCUUACAGGAUUGCUAAUUUCAGAGCACGAUGAGGUUUUUUUUAAAAAGUACUUUAUGUUGAAUUUAUGAUUAAUGAGGGCACUCAAAAAUUUUAAAAGAUAUGGAAAUAAAGUAAGCACACUUUAUUUAUGAAGAUGUGUGAGAAUAGAGGUACUGAUUAGAAAUUUUAAUUGGAAGUUAAGGUUGAUUUAUCAUCUCAACUGCAUUAUUUAAUCCUGUGUCACUUUUAAAAUGUCACUUAAUUUUUCUGUUCCCAGUGUUCUUUUCUGUAAAAUGCAAUCAGCAGUUCCAUAUACUUUUUUUAAACUAAGAUUUUAAAAUAAUACUAGCUAGACUUCUCUUUUUAAAAUUUUUAUUUAUUUGAGAGGCAGAUAGAGAACUUCCUAUAGGCACACAGGGUCCUGGGCUGAAGCUGAGUGCCAGAAUGCACUGUAGGUCUUCCAUGUGGGUGGCAGGAACCCAGUUAUUUGCUGUUGCCUUCCAGGAUCUGCAUUAGUGGAGUCACAAGCCAGAACCAGGUAUUCUGAUGGUUGUCUUAACUGCAAGGUUAAGCACCCACCCUUUGCUAGACAUCUUAAGCAUUAGAUAAUACAAGUACACUGUAUGUGAUUUAACAGUUUAGACCUUGUAAUCUAUGAAAAUGUGAGAAACUUUUUAAAAUAAGAAGACUGUACUCAGUUUUAGUCAUUGGUAACCCUGUUAGGUUCUGUUUUCGUCUUUUCUCCCUGAAGAGUUUUCGUUCACUAUUACAUGUUUAAAUUUUCUAGACCCCCUUUAUACCAGUAUUAUGUAUGAGAUCAUCUUAUGUAUAGCAUCAGUGGAAAAAUCAUUUGUAAAAACUGUCUUUAUUUUCUUCCAGCUGUUCCCUCUGGGACAUUAAAUUUCAGUUAUUGAAUAUAAUUGUAGUUUACCCUAAGCAGAAGGAUUAUUGCAAACUAUGGACAAAUAUAAAUUUAUCGUGACAUAAUUUAUAUAUACUUAGUAUUUUGGUGGGGAUAGUUAAGCAUGGUUUAUAUAAUUUAAUAUUUCUAACCAUUAGUAGUGUCUGUCCUAAGUUAACUUUAUUUGAUGUGUUGUUAAAGCCAACAGAGUACGUAUAGUCUCCUUAAAAAUAUAUAUCUGUGGAAUAUUUUUUAAAAGGACCUAAAAAAUUUGCCCAUAAAUGAACAGAAGGUAGAAAUUUUGGGGCCAGUGCUGUAGCAAAGCGAGUUAAGCCACUGUCUGCAUUGCCAGCAUCCCAUAUGUUUGCUAGAUCAAGUCCCUGCUGUUCUACUUCCGACCCAGCUCCUGCUAAUGUGUCUGGGAAAACAUCGGAAGAUGGCCCAAGUGCUUGGACCCCUGUACCCACGUGGGAAAUCUGGAAGAAGCUCCUGGCUCCUGGCUUUGGCCCGGUGCAACCCUGGCCAUUGUGGCCAUGUGAGGAGUGAACCAGCAGUUGGAAGAUCUGUUUCUCUCUGUAAUUUUAAUUUUCAAAUAAAUAAAAUCUUAAAAAAAAAGUAGAAAUUUUACUUUGAAACCUUCUAAUUGAAUAUACAAUUAGUUAAAUUUUGUUUAGAGACUGUUUUGAUUGCCUUUAUUCUACACUUGAGGUUUUUUUUUUUUCGUACUGUGUGUUUAUGUGGCACUGCUUAGUAUGUUUUUAUUUCAGUUUAUAAACAAGCUUUUCUAAAUGAAAAGUCAUUUUGUUCUUAGUGAUUAUAUGGUAGUUCUCAGACUUUUAUGUUUGAAAGAAGUGAAAAUGAGUAAUUUAUUAAGCUGUUGCCUAAAAUAACCAAUUUAGUUGGAGCAUGUGAUAUAAUUUAUUUUUAGUAUAAUAUGGAGUUAUGAUCCACAUAAAUUUAUAGGAGAAUCUUUUGCUGUGUUUUAAAAUUUGGAAGUCUGUAGUAUGCCCAGAAAUUAAGUGUUGAAUACUAAAUGUUAGACUAAGUCAAUAUUGUGUGUAAAUAGUAUUCUUUUUACAAUGACAUUUAUGUUUUUGAUUAAGGGUCAGUUUUGAAGUAUUCUUUAAAUAUAUUGUACAUGUUGGUCAAAUGAUGUACUGAAGAAUUUAAUUUAUAUCCUAUUCUUUCUCCUUUUGGAAGAAAGGAAAUUGUAAAUAGUUGGCCUUUAGCCACAUACCAUGAGGCAACUUUUAAUCUGAUAGAGUGUCUGUAGGGUUGUUGUUUUCUCACAUUUUAUCUGAUAGAAGAUAUGAUAACUGUUAGAUUGUUCUUUAGGUCUUAAUAUGUGUUAAACAUUGAACAUUUGUUUGCAACCUAUUACUUAUAUAAAGUAGAUAACACUUUAAAAGUUCUUUUGACAAAUAUUGGUACCAGGAGAAGGGGAGAGUAAAGGCAGAGAGAAAGUGUAAUAUUUAGAUAGAAAGCAUGUUAAAGUAGUCAUUAUUUGCCUUUUUCCUGGGAUUAUAUAACCUUGCUUUUUAAUUAUCCCUUUGAAGAGUAAUGGACUGCCUUGAGAGCGUAUGUAUAGCUUUAGAGUUUUCCAUGGUGGCUGCUGGGAACAUAUUAUAUGGAUAUAAGGAAGAUCUGAAGCAGCUUUCACACUGGAGGUCAUUUUUAGUGAUCACAUUUAGAGUUCCAGAUUUUAGAAGGUAGGCGAACUAUAGGUAGCUAAAGCUAGGUGGAAAGGAUUUUUAGGCACAAAGACAUUGUUAAGAACAUUCAAGUUAACCAAUCUUGAGAAGAAAUCAGUACUAAUUAAUUAAAAUCAUAUUCUCUGUCUUUCAGCACUAUACCAGGCUUGAAUAUUCUGUGGCCUAAAUACACUAAUAUUUGUCUUACUGUGAAUCUUGACUUUUAGGCUAGAAAAUGUAGUAGCUCAAAUUAUAAUUUUAACUCACUUGAAAAAAAAAAACUGAUAAUGAUAAAAAAUGUUACACAUUUUGUUACUCAUUUUAAAAACCUAGUUUUUAAAAGAUUUAUUUUAUUUGAAAGAGUUAAAGAGGGAGGUAGAUACAGAGAGAAAGUUGGUUCACUCUCCAGAUGGCCGCAACAGCUGAAGCUUCGCGGAUCAGGACCCAGGAACUUCUUCCGGGUUUCCCACCUGGGUGCAGGGUCCCAAGGACUUGGGCCAUCCUCUGCUGCUUUCCCAGGCACAUUUAAGCAGGCAGCUGGAUUGGAAGUGGAGUAGCGGAGAACCGACGCCCAUACAGGAUGCUGGUGCCGAGGGCAGGGCUUUAACCCAUUGUGCCACAGCGCUGGCCCCAAAAGCCUAGUUCUGUAUGCUUAGUUCUGUGUACUGUAAUUGAUGAAAAGUGCUGGAAUGAAUCCUUGUACAUGAGAAGUUAGAAUCAUGUGAGGAGAGGCAUAAUGUAGUGAGUAAAACAUUUGUGUGGCUGUAUUACUUUUUCUUUGUAAAGCAGUGAUUUUGAACCAGUGUUCUGUGGGUCAAACAGGUUCAAUGUCAACGCUGUAGUUUUACUUUAAGUGUGCAUGAGAUUUCAUUUUAGAGCAGGGUUCUUUUGUUUAAAAAGUGUGGUAACCACUGUUGUUAGCAUAUUUGAUCUUACCACUCCCCUGCUUAAAUCCUUGCCAUGGUUUUUAUCAUUAUUAUUAUGACUGAUAAGACUUUAUCUAGCUCCAGCUUCAUUCUUCAUCUCUUAUCACUUUCCCUUCCUUUCCUUAUAAACCCUCCAUUCUAAUCCUUCUCAAAUUGUUUACUAUUCCCCAGAGGAAAAAAUGUGCUUUUUAAAUUUCCAUACCUUUGCACAUGGAACUGCCACCAUUCUCAGAUCAGUUAGGUAGCACCAUGUUCCCUUGGAACUUUUGUCGUAUUUCCAUUCAAACACUUAGUACAUUGUUUUGGAAGUGUGGCCUUUUCUGAGAGCAGAGACCAUGUCGUUUAUUUUGUAUCCAUACUACUUGGUGUUCAUUCGGUAUUCAGAUAUCUGUUGAAUGAUUGCAUUUAGAAUUUGAAAAGUAGAGCCGGCGCCGUGGCUCAAUAGGCUAAUCCUCCACCUUGCGGCGCCGGCACACCGGGUUCUAGUCCCGGUCGGGGCGCCGGAUUCUGUCCCAGUUGCCCCUCUUCCAGGCCAGCUCUCUGCUAUGGCCAGGGAGUGCAGUGGAGGAUGGCCCAGGUGCUUGGGCCCUGCACCCCAUGGGAGACCAGGAAAAGCACCUGGCUCCUGGCUCCUGCCAGGAUCAGCGCGGUGCGCCGGCUGCAGCGGCGGCCAUUGGAGGGUGAACCAACGGCAAAAGGAAGACCUUUCUCUCUCUGUCUCUCUCUCUGUCCACUCUGCCUGUCAAAAAAAAAAAAAAAAAAAAGAAUUUGAAAAGUAGUAAAAUUACUUGAAUGUACAAUCAUGUGAAUAAAACAUUCCAGAUGCAGUCUGUGUAAAGCGUUUUAAGCGAUGGUGUCAGGCAUUAUGCUAAAUAUAUAAAUGGUACCACAUUGUACUCAUGAAGUAUAAUAAAGUCAAAAGAUAUAUUAUAUGGAAAGAUUAGAUUAAGUUACAGUGGCUUAAGUGGUGCCUUGGAUUUAGUCAUCUAAUCCUAAAAGUGAAUUGUGAAAGCAUUUUAAUAAUAAUUCUAUAUAGUCUUGGUUAUUUCUUUAAAUAUUUCUUUAUAUAUGAUUAUUCAAGUGUCAAGGCUCAUAAGAAGAGCAUUGCAGCAUCCAUCCUUAGAGGUUAAAAAAUGUGCCUUUGAGCUGUUCUGCCUGAAUUCAUAUCACUCUCCUGCCUGUCAGUAGCUGUGUGGUCUUAGACAUCUUUUUGUUUUUAAGAUUUAUUUAUUUAUUUGAAAGAGAGAGGAGUGAAGAAGGGAGAAGGAGAGAGAGAGAGAGAGCUUGAGAGAAUGAGUGAGUGAGGCAGAUCUUUGAUCCACUGAUUCACUCCCCAAAUGGCUACAGGCACCAGGGCUGAGCCAAGGGGAAGCCAGAGGGUCAUCCAGGUGCAAGAGCCCAGCACAUGGGCCAUUUUCUGCUGCUUUUCCCCCGGCCAUCAGCAAGGAGUUGGAUUGGAAAUGGAGCAAUUGGAACACAAACCAGUACCCGUAUGGGAUAUGGGAUAUGGACAUCAUGAGUAGCAGCUUUACCAAAAAUUGCACAAGUUUCUUAAUCAUUCUGUAACUCCAUUUUCUCAACCUUAAAAUGAAGAGAAUUAAUACUACCUUAACAUUGCUGUUGUGAAGAAUGUACAUGACUUUAUGCUUGUUAAAGACUUGAAAAAUGUUAGAUGGGGCAAGCAUUUGGCAUAGCAGUUAAGUUGCCACAAGGGGUCCCAUCAUUUCCAUCUUUUAAAGGUAAUAGCUUUAAUGCAUGAGUAUCUGAUUCAAAAGAGACAACAUCCGUGGUUUUACUUUCUGCAGUUUCAGUUAUGGUCAAGUGUGGUAUAGAAAUAUAAAAUGGAGAGUUCCAGAAAUAAACAGUUCACAAGCUUGAAAUUGCACUCUAUUCUAAGUAGUGUGAUGACAUCUCCCACUGUCCUCCAUCCCUCUCAGGAUGUGACUCUUCCCUUUGUCUAGUAUUCACCUCUGUAUGCUGCCUGCCCCUCAGUGACUCAGUAACCAUCUUUUUAAUCAGAGCUACAGUCAUGAUAUUAAAGUGUUUGUGUUCAAGUAAUCUGUAAGUAGUAGCCUAACAUACAUACCUAAGUCAGUCAUCUUACUUUAUCUCAUGUGUCCCUUGUCUCAUCUCACAUUGUCACAAGAAUGGUGACAAUAAGUACAACAAGAUUUUGAGAGGCAGCAUCGUGGCAUAGCAGGUAAAGUGCCCACCUGCAAAGCCAGCUUCCCACAUGGGUGCCAGUUUGUGUACUGGUUGCUUUACUUCUGAUCCAGUUCCCUACUAAUGCACCUGGGAAAGCAGCAGAGGAUGGCCCAAGUGCUUGGCCCACUGCACCCAUGUGGUUGACCUGCAAGAAGCUCCUGGCUCUUGGCUUCUGCCCAGCCACGCCCAGCCUAGCCCUUGUUGUGGCCAUUUGGGGAGUGAACCAGCAGAUGGAAGUUCUCUCUCUCUGUAUCCCCCUCGCUGUCUGUAACUCUACCUUUCAAAUAAAUAAAUACAUCUCAAAAAACUUUUGAGACCAAAUUUUCAUAACUUUUAUUAUAGUAUACUGCUAUAAUUGUUCUAUUUUAUCAUUAGUUGUUAGUAAUCCCUUAUUGUGCCUAAGUUAUAAAUUAAACUUUAUCAUAAGUAUGCAGGUAUAGGAAAAAGCAGAGUUACAGGAUUCAGUACAAUUGGUGAUUCUGGCAUCCACUGUAGGGUACUGGAACAUGUAUCCCCUCAAGGUUAACAGAGGGGGAACUAUUGGGUUGCUGUCUUUAAACUGAUAACUGUUUCAGCACAUUCAAAGUGUAAAUUGCAUUCUUGUUGGGUGGAUUGACUGAUUCACUGAUGUGCGAGACUUAAAACUUAAGCCUGGCUGUUCCACUUCCAGUCCAGCUCCCUGCUUAUGGCCUGGGAAAGCAGUGGAGGAUGGCCCAAUUCCGUGGGUCCCUGCACCCAUGUGGGAGACCCAGAAGAAGCUUCUGGCUCCUGACUCAGCUCCAGCCAUUGCGGCCAUUUGAGGAGUGAACCAGCAGAUGGAAGACCUCUCUCUGUCUCUGUCUCUACCUCUCUCUGUAACUCUUGUCUUUCAAAUAAAAUGAAAAAUCUUCAAAACAAAACAAAACUUAAGUUCUCCUGAUAUCUGUGGCUUAGCAUUGUGUUCCUGUGACCUGCAUUUCUUGGUAGUUCCCCAAGAGAAGAGGGAGAGAAACAGAGAAUAUAAAUCCAAUGACAAGCUCUUUAGUCUUAGCCUGUAAUAAGUCCUAAACUUUGGUAUUCCUUAGAAGAUAAGUGUUCAGCUUUAUUUUUUUCUUCAUUUUCACACUGUAUUUUUUUAACUUGGAAAAAUAGAUCUUUAAACAUCUAAAUUUGUUUUAUUUCAGAAAGGCACAUGCAGAAUUAUUUUUUUUUUAAUUUGUGAAGCUGUUUUUAAGCCCAUUUUUCUACAUAUAUACUUGCAGUAAGAGAAGUAGGCAAGGCAUUAGUAAUUUGUAUCAAGAACUAUGUACUAUGAAAUUCUGUUACAUAUUCACAUUUAAGAUACAAAGAAGAACUUAUCAGAAAAAAUUUGUCUUUCAAAGUAUUCAUUUCUUACUAUAGCAAAUAAUAUUUUGUCCUUAUAGCCUAGUUUAACUUUUGCACUCAUGUGCUCUCAGUUAACAAUUGAAAUAUAAUGAAAAGCUGGCUGGGUAAUUUUCUAAAAAUAUUUCAUUGAAGGAAUUUUAGCAAGUAAUUUUCAUUGUUUAGGCUAGCAGUCAGUAAGUUGAAAAUGGGUGACUGGGAUAUAAAGAUAAAUGCCAGAAAGAUAGUCGGGAUCAGACACUUAUUUUUCUACACUAAUGACUUGCUGCAGAGUCUAGACUAAGGAGACUGUAUGGGAAUUUGGAAGCUCAGAAUGAGACUGGAAAAGUGCUAGAAUUUGAAUAGUGUAAAAAAAAAAAAAAACAAAAUAAGACAUUAGCAAGGAAUCAUUCAUCAUCAUCAUCAUCAUCAUUUGAGAGGCAGAGACAGAGAGCUCCCACCUGCCUGAAACAGCCUUGGUGAGUUGAGGGCCAGAGCCAGGGCUAGGCUGGGCCAAAAGCCUGAGCUGAUUGCAAUUCAGGUCUCCCAGCUGGGUAGCAGGAACCGUUAUUUGAGCCAUCGCCUGUUGCCUUCCAGGGUCUGCAUUGAUAGGAAGCUGGAGUUAGGAAAUAGAGUUGAGAAUCAAACCCAGAUACUGGCCGGUGCCGCAGCUCACUAGGCUAAUCCUCCGCCUGCAGUGCCAGCUACACUGGGUUCUAGUCCCAGUUGGGGUGCUGGAAAUUUGCAUUACUUUUUUGGCAGCCACAUUACUCUUUGAUCAUACUGAGUUUAUGGUCAACUAAAACCCUGUCUCUUUUUCAUGUGAACUGCUUUGAAUCUAAUCUCUCUCAUUCUUUACUUGACAGUUGAUGCUUUGAAAGUAAAUCCAAGAUGUUAUGUGUUGCAUUAGUAUAAAAGUUUAAGUGAAUUUAUCUUUUUUAGAUUUCAUCCCAUCUGACUGUCUAGAUAUCAGCUAACAUCUGUAUAAAAUAGCAGUUCUCAUGGUACUGUCACAUCUUUUACAACAACUAUUUGAGAAUCAGAAUGGAAAAAAAACUUUCCAACAAAUCAUGACUUGACAGAUGUAGUACUUUGUUGCAAGACUUUUGAUUACAGAUCCCAUACUCAUUUCAUCACUGUUCAUUCAUUUAGUGUUUCCAUUUCAACAUGGUAGGCACUGUGUGUGGUGUUGGUGUAUCAGAGAGCAAGAAAGAUGAUAGUCUCUAUCCUUCUGGUAUUUAUGACCUGGCGUAUAAUUUUAUAUAUAUAUAUAUAUAUAUAUAUAUAUAAAACAUAUAUACAAUUACUACCAAAUACUCAGCACUUUUUAUGGGAAGGAACUGUGAUAGAUUUAUUGUUCAGAAGUUUUUGUUUCCUCUAUCAGGAUCCUGUCUGUAGUAGGUUUGUAUUUCCGACUCUGUUUUCAUCACAUUCUGCCAGUGGGCAUUUCUUGACCAGUAAAAUGUUUGAGAACCACCAUAUCCCAUGUUGGAACAGAAGUUUUCCAUCUUGUAGUUCUGCCAGUGGCCCUUGCCCUUCAUUUUGUGGAACCUGAAUGCCUUAGCUAGAACUGGUUGCAGAAUUAUGAAGCAGAACUGAAACUGAUUCAUGAUAGACAUACAAAGUAAAAUAAACACUUUGUUGUAAGGUACCAUAACUUUGGAGUCUUUCUUAACCAUCAUGUAGUAUUGCACAAACAGUGAUACAGACACAUAUGUACUAUACAAAGAUAGAUAAAACUUAGACAUUAUCCUCAAGGAGCUUCCCAUCCUGGUGGGAUGCCUUUGAAGUUGAGGAAGAGGAGAAUGUGUUUUAUGAAACAGUCGUUGGAGUUGAGGAUCAUUUUUGGCCUAUAGCUUACCUCCAGGUUGAAUUGGUCAUUAUGAUAUAAAUCUUGGUCUGUGAUACAGCUCCUCAUUGUCACAAUCUCUUCUGUAGAUCCUAUAAGCAUGUUUUCUAUACCCUCAUUCAGACCACCAUUUUGAAAACAAAUAUUUAGGGGCCAGCAUUGUGGUGUAGCAGGUUAAGCUACUGCCUGUUAUACCAACACUGGCAUCCCGCAUUCAAAUUUCCCAUUGCCAUUAUCUGUAUAAGGGCCUCACUCUGUGUGGGAUUGUAGACAGAAAGUGUAGAAUGGAAUUCUGCAAGGAGUUUUUUUCCUCACCCUGAGAAGCUAAAGAAAAUGUGGCUAGUAUUCAGGGGAGUUUUGAAACCUUUGAAAUUACUACCUGUAAAAUUUUAUGUAAAUAUCCAUUGUUCUGGCCCCUAGUUUUUAUCAAACUAUCAAAGAGAAUCCUAACUCCCAACACUUCUGGCAAAUCUUUUUUUCUUUAAAUAGCUUUAUUAACAUAAUUUUUGUACAGUAAGCUACACAUACUGAAAAGUGUACAAUUUGGUAACUGUGACCAGUCUAUGCCCAUGAAACUGCCAUCAUAUACAGACUGAAUGUAUCUGUCACCCCCAAAAGUUUUCUAGUUUUCUUGAUAUUCCUUCUUGGCAUUCUCUGGGCAACCACAAUCUCUGCUUCUUCACUUUAUAUUUGUUUGCAUGUCUUAAAAGUACAGUACUGGGGCCGGCACUGUGGCAUAGUGGGUAAAGCUGCCACCUGCAAUGCCAGCAUCCUAUAUGGGCACUGGUUCAAGUUGUGGCUGCUCUGCUUCUGAUCCAGCUCUCUGCUAUGGCCUGGGAAAGCAGUAGAAGAUGGCCCAAGUCCUUGGGCCCCUGCACCCACAUGGGAGAUCCAAAAGAAGCUCUUGGCUCCUGGCUUUGGAUCGGCGCAGCUCCGGCCAUUGCAGCCAUCUGGGGAAUGAACCAGUGGAUGGAAGACUUUCUGUGCCUCUGCCUCUCUGUAAUUCUGCCUUUCAAAUAAAUAAAUAAAUCUUUAAAAAGAUUAAAAAAAAAUCAAGCACACGCAAAUACAUGCAUACAUAAGUAACAAGCAAAGAAAACAGAAUUCUAGUUUCCAUUUUUUUUUAAAAAAGUACAGUAUGUGUGCUUUCUGUGUGGCUUCUUUCACCUCCAUGUUUAUUUUGAGACUCAUCUAUGUUGUGGCAUGUGUCAGUAGUUAAGCUCUUUUUUAUUGCUGAAUAGUAGUCCAUUGUAUGGGUAUACCACUGUUUGUAUGUACAGCCACCUGUUGAUAGACAUAUGGGUUGUUUCUAGUUUUUGGCCUUUAAAAGAUAAGCAUCAGUGAAGAUCCAUGUGUUUAUAUAGACAUAUGCUUUUCAUUUUAUGGACAUGUAUUUAUAUGGACAUAUGCUUUUCAUUUCUCUUAGCUACAUACAAGGAGUAGAAUGGCUGAAUCAUAUGAAAAUAUACAAGUUUCUCCAAAGCAUUCUGAUUGACGACUUGGAUUUCAAAGCUUCCACACAGUCGUGUUGCCUAGAAUUGACUGCUGUUUGAGUACCCUUUUCAGUUCCCUGUUUCAGACAGUUAAUGCCAUGUCAAGUGUAACUCUGAAGAACCCCGUUUUAGUCACAUGGACCACAUCUCAUGAUUGUCAGGUCAUGCAGAUGCAGUCUCUGGCUUUCAGGUGGAAAGUUUUUAAGAAAAUGUGAGUACAGACCUACCAACAUGAUUAACAUCCAUGCAGAUACAAUGCUUUACAUUUCAGAUGUGUUUUAUAAAUUUAAUUUUAGUUUUACUUAAUCUUCACAACCUCUCUCUGAGAGCUUUCUUCCAUGUUGUAGAAUUCUUUUGUUUUUUAGACUGGGAAACUGAUUUAGAGUAAUAAUGACUUAACUUCAGCCCACAUAGUUAGUAUUAAGGGGACGUACAAGGAGUUGAAGGCACAAUUGUGAACUCUUCCAGGAAACUAUAAACAGACUUUGUGAAUGAUAAAUUAGGAGAGUUAUUUAUCUCUCUUGUCUAGAGAAAAUUUUUUCUUAAGUAUAGUGUUAAGUAGAUUUUUUUUAUCAGGCUUGAAAAAAGAAUAUUUAAAGCUCAUGGGUUAAUUUCUGAAAAUUAAAUUGCUCUGAAUGUUCAAAAAUAGUAAGCAUGCUUCAGGGCAGGACACCUCUUUAAGGUUAUAAACAUGUUCUCAGUGUCACUAAGGUUCACAAUUAGUUUUCUUAAAUUCCUGUUUGCCAAAAUGUCUUUUUGUUUGUAUAUUGAGGAAGAAGUUGGCAGAUUUCCUCCAGAUGUGGAUUUUGAAAGUUAGGCUUUGGUGAAGUGUAGUUUGCAUUUUAGUGCUAUUCUCUAGAAUUAUGUAGAACUUAAAUGUUGUGGGUUGGCUUAUAGGGCACAUGAAUCAGGUAAAGCACACUAGAAUCUGUAUUGGUUGUCAGUUUUGUUCUGGGUUCAAUUCAUGGUGUUUACUACUCUAAAACAGAAGUUGGAAUCCAUGCACAUCCAGUUACAUGAAGAAAGAGACUCUGCUUUUCAGUUAUUCAAUGCCGUAGACCACAGAUCUACUCACUCCGUUUAUCCUGAUUUGAGUGGUCUUAAAAACUCAGAGUUAGCUAUGUUGUUGUUCACUAGUUUUACCAUACCUAUGACCAAGGUUUUCAGUGGGCAGUAUUUUAAGAAUCUAGAGUGCUGGCUCCCAUUCAGGUCACUAUCAGUUUUGAUUAUGAUCAAGAAUUGUGGGGCUAACAUUCUGAUUAUUCUAUAGUUUUAAGGGGAGGAUUUGGCCAUUUUAUCCAAAGUAUUUCCCUACCUUACUUUCUUUUCUGGGUUUGAAGCAUCCCAAUGCAGACUAUGUCAAGUGAAUACCUAAUGAAUCAGUCUUAUAUAAAUGUAUGGCACCCGGCCGGCGCUGCGGCUCACUAGGCUAAUCCUCCGCCUAGCGGCGCCGGCACACCGGGUUCUAGUCCCGGUCGGGGCGCCGGAUUCUGUCCCGGUUGCCCCUCUUCCAGGCCAGCCCUCUGCUGUGGCCAGGGAGUGCAGUGGAGGAUGGCCCAGGUGCUUGGGCCCUGCACCCCAUGGGAGACCAGGAAAAGCACCUGGCUCCUGGCUCCUGCCAUCGGAUCAGCGCGGUGCGCCGGCCGCAGCGCGCCGGCCGCGGCGGCCAUUGGAGGGUGAACCAACGGCAAAAGGAAGACCUUUCUCUCUGUCUCUCUCUCUCACUGUCCACUCUGCCUGUCAAAAAAAAUAAAAAUAAAAAAAAAAAAAAAAAAAUAAAUGUAUGGCACCCGUGUUACAGGAAGCCAAGCUACACUUUCUUUGUGAAGAAUAAUAAUGGAGAAAAUGUAUAAUUAUACUGAAGUGAUAGACUAAAUUAUCCACUAGUACUUUCUGUGGUUUUACCUUCACCCUCUACCCAAAGUGCAGCAGUCAUUUAAUCUGUAAUACCAUCACUCCAUUUUGAGUAGUUGUUCUCACAGUUCUGGAGGCUGGGAAGUCCAAAAUCAAGGCCCCAGCGUCCGUGAUGGAAGGCAGAAGGGCAAGAGAUGCUCUCAGGGGAAGAGGGAGGAGCCAAAUUCUUCUUUUUUUUUUUUUUUUUUUUCCCCCAAAACUCACUCCAGAAAUAACUAACCAACUCCCAAGGUAGUGGCAUUAAUCCAUUCAUGAGAGCAGAACCCUCAUGACCUAAUCACUUCUUAAAGGUCCCACUUCUUUUAAAAUUUUAUUUGAAAGAGAGUGAGAAAGAGGGAAAGAGGGAUCAAUCUCCCAUCUGCUGAUUCACUCCCCAAAUGCCCACAACAACCAGGGCUGGGCCAAGCAGAAGUCAGGAGCUAGAAAGUCUCCCAUACAGGUGAGUUCCUGCUGUCUCUGAGAGUGUGCGUUAGUAGGAACAGGAAUCGGGCAGACCCGAAAUUCAAACUCAGGCAUUCCAAUAUUGUGUGCAGGUAUACCAGGCAGUGUCUGAACUGCUAUGCCAGGGAUCUGGAUAGGAAGUGGAGCAGCAGGACAUGAACUGACACCCAUAUGGGAUCCUGGCAUCUUAGGCUGUAGCUUUAGCUGCUACACCAAAAUGCUGGCCCCUGCAGUCCUUUAUUGUUUGUGGGAAAAAAAUUUUAAAAAUUAGGAGCCUUUCAAAAUUGUGUCUGUUGGCUUUUUUCAGUAGUUAUCCUGGAAAUCAUGCUUGUGCUUGUGUAAAGAAAUCAUUAUAACUUAGUUUUAGACUUUUGUUGUUUUAAUAGAUAAUUUUUAUAAAGAAAUUAUUAUUUAAUAUGUUUUAGAUGAAAGGUAAUCUUGGUUUUGAGGGAGUGUGAUUUGCUGUAUUUCGCUUAAUCUUUGUCUUUCUGCAAAGUGGUAUGAGAAGCAAAGUAGUUUAAACAUGUUGCGUUAUACACAAAGAUCAUGUGUAUAACGUGAUAUACAAUGUGUAUCCCCAUAUACACAUUGUGUGUGUAGAUAUAUAUAUAUAUAUAUAUAUGUAAUGUGUAUUCCUCUUAUUAUCCACUUUGCUCAUUUCCAUGGACGGUGUGUUCCUAACCUAAACUAACCGGAUAGGAGAGGAAAAAAUAGAAUCUUAAUAUAAAUCUUCUGCCACUGAAACCCACUGUAUUCAUUAUUCUCUACAGUAGGAUGUUUUUACUAGUAAAAGAGAUCACUUCUAAUAGUAUCAAGGCAACAAAUUAGAACUAUUCUGGGAAAACCGAGGUGUAUGGUCACUGUAAUCAGUAGAGUUGUGUGUGUGUGUGUGUGUGUGUGUGUGUGUUAGAUUUACUUAUUUAUUUUGAAAGUUAGAGUUACAGAGAGAAGGGGAGAGACAGAGAAAGAUCUUCUGUCUGCUGGUUCACUCCCCAGAUGGCCACAUGGGCCAGCACUGGGUUAAGCUGAAGCCGGGUACCAGGGGCUUCAUCCAGAUCUCCCAUGUGGGUGCAGGGGCCUAAACAUUUGGGCCGUGUUGUGCUGCCUUCCCAGGUGCAUUAGCAGGGAGCUGGAUCGGAAGUGGAGCAGCCAGGACAUGAACCGAUGCCUGUAUGGAUGCCAGUGUUGCAAGUGGCAGCUUUACCCACUGUACCAUGUUGGUUCCUAUUAUUUUGAAACUCUAGGUUUAGGAGAGAAAAACCCAUUUUUGCAUGUAUCAGAAAUGUAGGAUAGCAUGUAGGAUAGCAGGGUACUGUCUUUAAUGUGCAUUUGUUAAGUUUGUAAUGAAAAUUUUCUUAUGUAUUUGGAUUAUUUUGGAAAAAUUACAGUUGGUAGACCAUUUAUUCUCUUGUUAAUUUGUAACAUUAACUUUAUGACUUUUGUUUCAAGAUGUAAUAUUUAUCAUUGAGAUCCAGAAGUUCUAUAAAUCAUUGGCUAAAGAUGGUGCCUGGUGACGUUUGUGUCUCUUCUUCCGGUUUUAAGUUGUUGUUCAGAAAGUCUGUUGUUGUAAACAUCCCCGACUGGAAGCUGUAAAACAACUAAGCUUUCAGUCAGAUGUUUGCUGCUACCGGCUAUUCACAGACGUCAUCUAGCUAUAACUGUACGUAAGGAUUGAAGUUGAGGAGACUAUAACACUUAGAAUCCUCAGAUUCCUGUUCUCCCCAACAGUGCAUGUAUUCUGAUAGUUUAAUGUGGAGUGCUGCCCAAUCACAGGAUAUGCCGUCUGAGUUUCCCAAGUUAACAUGCUGCUGCUGGCUUGUAGAGAACUGAGUGAAAAAAUUUCGUUCUACUGUGGACUGUUAUUCCUGUUUAUGCUCUGUCCGUUAACUUUUAGUCUUUCAGUUUUUCCAAGUAGGCUACAGUUUAACUUCCUCAGCAGUGUUCAAGAGACUGAUUUUUCACUCUUAUAAAUGCUGUGAAAGUUCUAGAGGCUAAAGUUACCAUCACCACCCAGCAAUAUACUACAGAGAAAUUUUGAAUUUUCUCUGUAGUUAAGAGAUGUGUGUCAACUUUUUUUUUUUUUUUUUUUUUUUUUUGGCCAGGCAGAGUUAGACAGUGAGAGCGGUGAGAGAGAGAGACAAAGGUCUUCCUUCCGUUGGUUCAUUCCCCUGAUGGCCACUAUGGCGGGCACUGCGCCGAUCCAAAGCCAGGAGCCAGGUACUUCUUCCUGGUCUCCCAUGCUGGUGCAGGGGCCCAAGCACUUGGGCCAUCCUCCACUGCCCUCUCGGGCAACAGUAGAGAGCUGGACUGGAAGAGGAGCAACCAGGACAGAAUCCGGUGCCCCAACCAGGACUAGAACCCCGGGGUGCUGGCGCCGCAGGCGGAGGAUUAGCCUAGUGAGCCACGGCACCGGCCAUGAUGUGUGUAAACUUUUUCUCCCUUCUGUCACUAUCUCCACUUCCUGUUCUCACUCUUAAUGAUGGCACAGCUCCUAAUUGGAAUCCUCAAAAAAACUGCAAGACUUUAGACCAUUAAGUUGAUUUACAAUCUUUGCUAAUGGUUUUACAGAUAUAUUUGUAUAUUAGAUAUGUUUUCCUAAGUAUAUUCAGGUUAUUCCUUGGCUCUUCUCUUCCUCCUGAGAACAUGCCUGCUUUGUAAGCAGCAGGACUCUGUUUUAUGAACCUUCACAUUGCUGAAUAAUCCUGGACCUUCCUGAAAGAUGGCAUUCAGUGUGACUAAUUGAAAACAUAUAAUUUUGUAACAGCUAUUUUCCUGAAUUUAAAAAAUUUUCUUUCUUAUAUAUAUGUGUCUUAUAUACUGUAAAACAUUUCUAUUUUGACAUUCCUCUCUCCAGUUGAAAACAUAAUAUUUUUAUCAUUUGUUAUUUUAGAAGAUUUAUUUUGUAGGACCAGUGCUGUGGCAUGGUAGUUUAAGCCUCCACCUGCAGCACCAGCAUCCCUUAUGGGCGCUGGUUUGAGUCCCAGCUACUCCACUUCUGAUCCAGCUCCUGGGAAAGCAGUGGGAGAUGAUCCAAGUACGUGGGCCCCUGUACUCACGUGGCUUCCCUGGAAGAAGCUCCUGGCUCCUGGUUUCAGAUAUUGGCUCUGGAGCCAUUUGGGGAGUGAACCAUCAGAUGGAAGACCUCUUUCUCUGUCUGUAACCCUGCCUCUCAAAUAAACAAAUCUUACCGAAAAAAAGAUUAAUUAUUUGAGAGGCAGAAUUAUAGCAAGAGGGAGAUAACAGAGAGAAAGAAAGAGAGCUUUUCCAUUCUCUGGUUAACUGUGCAAAUGGUUGCAAUUGUCAGGACUGGGCCAUGCUGAAGCCAGGAGCCCAGAACUCCAUCCGGGUCUACCACAUGGAUGCAGAAUCCCAAACACUUGGACUUUCCGCUGGUUUCCCAGGUGCAUUGACAAGGAGCUGGAUCAGAAGUGGAGCUGCCAGGAUUCAAGCCAGCACCUAUAUGGGAUGCUGUUAUUAUAGGCAGUGUGGUUGAACCCAAGCACCACCUUGCUAGCCCCUAUAAUUAAUAUUAAAGUACUUAACAUAAUACAAUGUUAGGUUCAAAACAUAAUUAAAACCAAAAAUUUAACUUUACCUGCUUUUUAUAUGCUUGUCUGCUCUGAUUAGAUCACUAGCUUCCUGAGAAUGGGUGCAUUAUCUUUUUAUAAUUCUAUGUUUUCCUGCCAUAAACAUCUAGUAAAAUACUUGCAUGUAUAGCACUCUAAUAAUUAUUUUAUUGCAACAAUAUGUACUCUUUUAUCUUUCGUCCAGGGGAACAAGUGACACUUUGGGUCCUAAUGUAGUUACUCUAGAGCUUUCCGUGCUAGAGCAUUUGCUUGUAAAUGUUCCCUUGUUAAAGUACUGGUGUCCAAGACUGUUUGUGGGAAAAGAUUCAUUGCUUCAGACAAAAGUAGCUUUGCAGUUCGUAAGUAUAAUUCCCAGGUUUAAUGAUCAGCAUGCUUCAAGCAUCCCUUUCUGUGCCCCUCUGUUUUAGCAUCUUGGAAGGCUGAUGUUUCAAAUAGCAGUAAGUGGAUAGAGCCCUGCUUAUUUCCUGUGAAAAACUUUGACAUAUAUAGCGUUAACAUUCAGUGAGAUGGAUACAAAUGGCAUAAUUUAAUAAUUUGCACAGAUGAAUUUGAAAGAUUUUUUAAAAUGAUAGAUCAGAUCUAAGCUAAAAAAGAGGUAGGUGCUCUGCGUAAAGCUAUUGUAUUCUGACAGCUACUCUUGUUAUCCCUAGAUGCGGCAGGAUUACUGGCACAAUCUGUGUUAUGUAACAUUUGUUCUGUAUUACUCUGCCCUAAUGAGUUGCAUCAAAACGCAUGUCAGCUUUAAUUCCAGCUACCUUUGUUUCACUGUACUUUUUUUUUUUUUUUAAAUGAAGAAUGGGAUGGGAGAGGGAGUAGGAGACGGGAUGGUUUGCACGUGGGAGGGUGGUAAUUGGUAAUGGGGGGGAAGAAACCUCUAUAAUCCAAAAGUUGUACUUUCAGAAUUUAUAUUUAUUAAAUAAAAGUUUUCUAAAAAAAAAGAUUUAUUUAUUUAUUUGAAAGUCAGAGUUACACAGAGAGAAGGAGAGGCAGAGAGAGAAGGCUUCCAUCCACUGGUUCACUGCCCAGGUGGCCGCAAUGGCCAGAGCUGUGCCAAUCCGAAGCCAGGAUCGAGGAGCUUCUUCUGAGUCACCCAUAUGGGUGCAGGGUCCCAAGGCCUUGGGCCAUCUUCUAGUGCUUUCCCAGGCCAUAGCAGAGAGCUAGAUCGGAAGUGGAGCAGCCCAGUCCUGUACCAGUGCCCAUAUGGGAUGCCAGUACUACAGGUGGUGGCUUUACCACUAUGCCACCGUGCUGGACCCUCACUCUACUUUUAAAUACAACUUUUUAGUUAUAUAUACAGAUAAGUUUUUCAUGUUUUAAUUUUAAAGCGCCACAAAAUUUCCAUUGGCCUGCACAGUUAGCAAUUGAUUAUUUAAUGCAAAUGCCUUAAAAUACUGAAUCAGCAGUAUUUUCCAGUAAACCUUUAACAACUUGUUUCCUGAGCCUUUAACUUAGUAUUUAGGAAAAAGUGUAUGGUCUUUAUUAACAGGCGUUAGAAAGCUCAGACAUUCUUUAUUAUUUAAGAAGAUUUUUGAUCCAAUUAACGUUAAAGGUAAAGGGUUUUUAGUUACUUAGCACCAUUCUUCAAAUAGCAGUAUUUUUUCCUCAGUAUAUUCUUUGAUAUUGUUUAGGGAUUACUUUGUUAAACUAGCAACUCAAAAUUUCCUCCACAUUCAUUUCCAAUUAGAUGCCUUUGUACAAAUACUCUGGGUUAGAAAAUGGUCAUAGAAAUAAUACAUCGUUGGUCAAGCCCUCAUUGGUCUCACUGCCUGAGUCUUUCCACUUAGAGUCAUAGACUUGGGGCAAGUCAGAAAUAGAUUAUGAAUCUUCAGAUCCCAGCGUGCUUUCCUCAUGGCAUGUAGCAUGUUCUGAUUAUGACUUCCUUUUGCUCUUCAUGUUAUAACUUGCUUCAUUGUAAAUGUGCUAUUACCUGCUGUAUGUGCUCAGAAUUUUUGUUUGAAUAUUGGUAUGAAGUUUGAAUAUCAAUCUGAAGGUUAAUUCUUUAAAUUGUCUUGUUUGGGUUACUCACUGCCAAGGUUUCCCCCAGCCUGGUUAAUUGUGGGUCAAAAUGUGAUAUUUUGACCUUUGCUUUUCUUGCUGUAGUGUAUUACAAACCUCGUAAUAAUUUGACAUUCACUGCUUUUCAGCGUAUUUGGUGACAUGGACUGCGGGUUUCCAGACACUAGUAUGCAUCAGAAUUAUUUGCAGGGCUUAUUCGUUAAAACACUGAGCCCUGCAGGAAGAGCUUCUGAAUCAGUAGCUCUGGCUUGGAACUUGAGAAGUUUGCUGCUCCUGCUGCUUGCUCCAGAUCUCUGUUCUCAGAACCAUGGAGCUCAUCUUACAGUCUUUUUCCUGUUAAGUGUUAUGCAAGUUGGAAACUGAAUUGAAGAUAUUAUUGUGGCAGGAUUAGUUAAAACAGAAAAACAGUAUGCUUGCAAGGGGGGGGUGGGAAUGUGUAUGUGUUUAAUCUAAAGAACUAAUGCAAGAAAAGAAUUAAAGCUUUAGGAGAAGACAAGAAGCCAGAGAAAUAGGAGGUUCCCAAAGGUCUUGAAAUGCCAAGGACUUUUAGAGUUUGCUUGCAGUGGUUAUAUUUAAUUCUGCUUACCAAUGUGAGAAUUUCCUCUCUUUGAUGCAAGCAUCUUAGUAGGGCCACUUGAAAUGCUUAGUAGAGGUAUUUUUGUUAACUUUUUUUUUUUUUAUCAGGAAUGCAAGAAGUAGGGAGAGAUUUUUUGAGACACCUUAACACUUGGAAUAGUAGAAGUUGGAAAGAGGUCAGAGUAUGAGAAAGAUAGGCAGGAUUUGAAAUUAUCUGGAUUAUUAAUAAGUGAGAGGGGAAGGAAUCAGGAGGGGCGGGGAGAAGAAUGUGUGGGAAGAGAGGUGACUGAGCUCACAGGUGUUUUGUUAGCUUUGUCUUCUACACCAAAUAGGAACAGUCUUCAUAACAGGUGGUUGAUGCAUCACACUGGCUAUCAGAUGAAUGCAAGUUAACUUGUUUUGAAUUGAAGACUAUAGGAAUUUUUUUUAAAGAUUUGUUUAUUUACUUCAAAAGCAGAGUUGCAGAGAGAGAGAAGGAGACACAGAGAUCUUCCAUCUGCCUGUUCCCUCCCCCGAAUAACUGCAAUGUUGGGCUGGGUUUGGCCAAAGUCAGGAGCCAGGAGUUUCUUCCAGGCCUCCUACAUGGGUGAUAGAGGCCCAAAGACUUGGGCCUUUCCUCUGAUUUCCCAGGUGUAUUAGCAGGAAGCUGAAUUGGAAGUAGAGCAGUCUGGACUUGAACCAGAGCUCAAGUAGGAUGCUGGCACUGCAGGUGGUGGCUUAACACACUGUGCCAAAGUGCAGGCUCUGGCUGUGGGAAUUUAAAAGGGUAUAAAAUCAUCUGCGAGGGUUGGGGGGGAAGGGAGGGUGGGUAUGUGAGUUAGAAUUGCUAUAAUCUUAAAGCUCUACCUAUGAAAUUUGCAUUCAUUAAAUAAAAGCUUUCUAAAAAAAAUCAGCUGCAUUUGCUUUUGUUGCAUAAACUCCUUCAGUAAAAAGAAUGUCUCUUCUGCUUUUUCCUUGAAUUCUUUGCUUUUUCUCAAGAUAACCCUUUUAUAAUUGGACAGGCAGAGAGAAAGAGUUCCCAUCCUCUGGUUCAUUCCCCAAAUAUGUGCAAUAGUCUGGGCUGGGCCAGAUUGAACCUCAGAGCCAGAAAACAAUGUAGGUCUCCCAUAUGGGUAGUAAGGAUCCAUUUACUUCAGCCAUUAUCACUGCCUUCCAGGAUAUGCAUUAGCAGGAAAUUGAAUCUGGAGCAUAGCCAUGCAUUGAAUCCAGGAAUUCUGAUAUGCGAUUUGGGUGUCAUAACCACUAUCUCAACCAUUGUGCAAAAUGCUCACUCAAGAUAGCUUUUGAAUUGACCUUUGCAUCAUUCAUGUGGAUCUUUAUGCCAGUUCCUUUUUCAAGAUUCUAUAGCAUUGUCUUUUCAGGAAAAAAAAUCAGUUUUUGUCAUAUGUACCCUAAUAUGAGUUUAAGUUUUGCGUCAAGGACCAGUAUAAACAUAAUAAAGCAUUCCCUAAGUCCUACUCUAAACCAAGUUUCAGUUCAUGUAAACAUCCUACACUCAGCUGUAAUACAUGAAUUGGCUGGGAGGUGGAUGUUUACGUCAGCUGACUUGGAAUACCAACCAAUACUGCUAAGAGAUUUGGCAAGAAAAAUACAGAGGCUUGUUUUUUUCUUAAUGUACAUUUAAAUUACUAGCAUAUCUCUAACAGAACAAAACCCUUUGAUUGGAACAAAAGAAUGUCCUUAUUUGAUAUUUAUAUAUUUGUCAGAUUUAUAGACAUUGCAGUGUAUUUUAACAAGCAUAGGCUUUUGCAUCAGCAUUUGUUGCCAUUUGUACUCCACCAGUGAGUUUGCUAGGGAAUUUGGAGAAGGGAAAGGCCCUGUUUCACACCUUAGUGGUAUUCUCAUCUGCAAAAUGGGCAUGGUGCCCUAUGUGGCAAUUAUGAAGUGGUUCAUUAGUACCUGUCACAUUAAGUACUAAGUAAAUGCUAGCAAUUAUUGAUAUCUACAUCUUAGGUGUUACUGUAUAUAUUAUUUAAGAUACUAUAAAGCUUAAAGUAAACAAAGUUUGGUUUUGUUUUUAAAUGAUGAUGAUACCAACUUGCUGGUUUGAUGAAAAUGGUUUGGCUCUUUGGUAUCACUGUAAUUUAGUAAUAAAGAGUAAAUAUGUAUUUGGUGUAAAUGAUACUUUCCUAUUCAUGCCAUUAUUUAAAAUACUUCAAAUUGAAAUUAAUUUUCUUGUUUUUCAAUUCCAUGAAAUCAGCAUUUUCAUUUUUUGGUGAUACAUCUGUAUUCUCUGGAAAUAAAACACAAGAUAAGAGCUACAAAACCAAAAUUAUGUGAGAAGUACAAAAUAUUCCAGCAGGUUGGCAAGUGUCUAUUCACUCUUCUUGUGUGUGCCUAAAUCCAAAAUUAGAAUUCACUUUUGAAUUUGAUUGUUCUUCCAUGGAAGAUGUCUACACAUGAAAAAUUCACAAUUAAAUAAAAAUGUCAAGUAAAAUGCAUGGGCAUGGAGACUUGUUUUUGGAGGUGAGUACCGUUUUCUAAUUUUAUUUGUUCAAUAGACUAACAGUUUUUAAUUAUUUUCUUUAUUGAGAAAGAGCUAUUCUAUUAUACACAUGGAUGCUAAACAUACCACAUUUCAUUGAGUUCUACACGUUUCUUUGUCAUGAAUCUUGUCGUGCUUAAAUUAUUUUAAAUUGUCGUACAAGAAUAAUGAUGCAGUGUAUUGUGGAAGAGUAUACUCUAAAGCAGUUUUAUGAAGUCUCUUUUUCAAAUUAAGCAUAUUUGGGAAUUCCCCAUCAACUUACCUUUGAAGCUCUGUGCAUAAAAUACAAAAUUUUUCCUUCAUACUGUGAAAUAUAACAAAUUAUUUGCAUAUACUUGUGGUUUAGGCUACCAGAAGAUCUGAGAGUUAAGCUAAUUUUAGUGUUUGAUUCAUUGCUCUUUUAUCUCUUGGUUAGUAGUUACAUAUUUAUUUAUUUAUAUCUGUGUGUUAUACACUGUCAUUAUUUAACAGGGUCUUUGAUCAGUCAGUGUAUAUGAAACUAGAUUUAAAUGAAAAUUCUAGUAUUUCUCUUAUUUGAACUAAUACAAUGAAACAUUCAAGUGACCUGCUUUCCAGCCUUACAAAAAAUAUAUAUACUUGAAUUUUUUAAAAUCUGUAUUUAUUAGAAAUGUAGUUUUUUUGAUGAACAUGUGCUUAUUAGCUUUAAAUUUCACAGAAUUGAAUAAAUAUUAAAAUGUCUCCAUUUUUCCCUUUUGUUUAAUAUUUUACCAUUUGUUAUUUAAUUGUAUUGAUGGUGAACAUAAUACAAAGUUGGAUUUCUCCAUUAACUUUUUGGUAUAUUUUAAAAUUAAACUAUUUUUCUAUUAGGUUUGGAGAUUUGAUAUAUUUUCUCACAUUAUUUGCUGAGAAUUUGGCAUAAAUUAUUCAGUCUUUCACAUUUCUUUUUAUUUUUCUCACCUUAUCUGUUCUCAGUAGGAGAAUUUUGUGGUGCUGAAUGUCUCCUUUAGACCUUAAUGAAUGAAAAAUGUCAGUUAAAUUGAGGGAAUCUAUGAUAUAUAAUGGAGGGUUUUUUUUUUUUUAAUGAUUUUUAUUUAGAUGAGAAGUAGAGCCACAGACUGAGAGAGGAAGAAACAGAGAGGUCUUCCAUCUGCUGGUUCACUCCCCAAAUGGCUGCAAUGGCCAGAGCUGGGCAAAUCUGAAGCCAGGAGCCUCCUCUGGAUCUCCAGCGUGGGUGCAGGGGCCCAAGCACUUAGGCCAUAUUCCACUGCUUUCCCAGGCCACAGCAGAGAGCUGGAUAGGAAGUGGAGCAGCUGGGUCUCGAAUCAGCACCCAUUUGAAAUGCCAGUGCUACAGGCAAAGGCUUAGCCCAUGAUGCCACAGCGCUAGUCCCUAUAAUGGAGUUUACCUUUUAGUUAUAUUUAUUUCAGUUUGUAGAAUGAUUUUUAUAGAUAAAUGUCAAAGCAUUAUGUAGUGGAAAAUAUUAUGCAAAAUUAUAAUAAACAGCCAUGUAACCUAUUUCUAUUGUAAUGGCUUAAUAUUGAAAGUUUUGUUUUUAACUAGAAAUAUUCUUAUUUUUAAAUUCUGGGUCAAAUUAAAAGGUGGGACAGGUGUUGUGGUGCAGGCAUUUAAACUUCUGCUUGUGACAUCUACAACCCACAUAAGACUGCCUGUUUGAGUCCUGGCUACUCUGCUUCCUGUCCAGCUUCCUGGUAAUGCAUCCUGGGAGAGAGCAGAUGAUGGCUCAAAUGCUUCUACCCCAUCAUCUAUGUUGGAGAUCUAGCCCCUGGCUUCAGCGUGACCCAGCCAUAGUAGCUGUGAGCACUUAGUGAGUAGAUGGAAAAGUUUUCUCUCACUGGCUUGUUCUUUGUCCCUUUCAAGUAGAUGAAAAUAAACAUUUUUUUUAAAGUUUUUAGUUUUAAGCUUUUUUUUUUUUUUUUAAGAUUUAUUUACUUUAAAGGCAGGGUUACAGAGAGAGAGGCAGAGGCAGAGGCAAAGAGAGAGAGAGAGAGUCUUCCAUCUGCUGGUUCACUCCCCCAGAUGGCUGCAGUGAGUGGAGCUGGGCUAAUCCGGAGCCAGGAGCCAGGAGCUUCUUCCGGGUCUCCCAUGUGGGUGCAGGGGCCCAAGGACUUGGGCCAUCUUCUACUGCUCUCCCAGGCCAUAGCAGAGAGCUGGAACGGAAGUGGAGCAGCUGAGUCUAACUGCGCCCAUGUGGGAUGCCAGCACUGCAGGCGGCGGUGGCUUUACCCGCUAUACCACAGCACCGGCCCCAGUUUUAAACUUUUUAAUUUGAGCUACCAGUAUAUUAUUGAAAGCAAUGGUAUUUCACAUUUAGGAUUUCUAUAUACGUAUAAGUGAAGAUUAUUUAAUUUUAUAGAAAAGACUUUUACCCCUGGGUAUUUUUCACAGUUUAGUACACAGUAUUCCUGUUAGGCUAAGUAACACUGUUCCAUGAACUAAGGUCUUAGAAAAAGAACCUGUUCAGCUACUGUCUUGAAACUAUCCAUGUACAAUUAUAACUGGUUUAAAAGUUCUGACCUUUUCAUUGCUUGCUUCAAAAUAGUUCUUUAAAGAUUAUUAAGUUAUGUUCAGUAAUUGUCCUUCUGUCAAAAAUUAUUUAAUAGCAGAAUUUGGGCUGCUUUGUUUUUUUAAAAGUAAUUUGAGAAACUGCUUUAGUCACUUGUUCUCCAUGCAAAUUUUAUGAGCUCAAAUGCACCAAGGGGCAGGGGGAGGAUUUUCAUAAGGUUUCCUUGGUUGGAAAAUGUACAAGGUACCUAAAGGUACACAACUGCCUUUAGAUAGCCCCAUCAUUUAUACACUGUUAUAAGAAGUUUGCUCCCUCAACAGGUUAUCUGUGAAAAUUUUUGUUUUAGGUAUUAUAUUUAUAUUUAAUAAUAUCUUGCUUAAAAUGAUCACCUGUGUAUAGUCUAUAGCACAGUUAAUGUUAACCAAAUACUGAGUUACUUUCAAGAUAAGAUAUAAGUUUGAAUGAGAAGGAGUUUGGGGACUAGGCAAUUGUUGGUCUCAGACAUGGGAUGCUGACAUUGCAAGCAGUGGCUUAACCCUCUGUGCCAUGAUGCUGGUCCCAGAGGUCCCAAUGAGAGUUUGGCACAGUGAUUGAAGGUGUCACUUGGAAUGCAGCAUCCUAUAUGAGAGUGCCCAGGUUUGAGUCCUAGCUCUGCUUCUGGUGCAGCUUCUUGAUAAAGCACACCCUGGAAGGCAGGAAAUAAUGGCUGAAGGCUUUGAGUCUCUGCUAUCCCUGGGAUGAGUUAGGAGCUCCAGGCUUCAGGUUAGCUCAAACCCAGCUGUUGUGGACAUUUAAGUGACCCAGCAGAUGGAUAUGUACUUGCCUGUUUUCUCUCUCUCUCUCUCUCUCUCUCUCUCUCUCUCUCUCUGUGUGUGUGUGUGUAAGAAAAACUUUUUAAAAUAAAAAUGAGAUCCUUUCUCACUGUCAGUGCUUCCUUAGGAGACGGUGCAAUGGUAAGAACAUUAUUAGAGAUAAAGGGUGUAAAGAUCCUUUUUCUACUCACACACCACUUAACACAUCUCUGUCACCAAAAUGUGUGGGGGAUAUAUCCUCACCAGUAGUCAAGCAAUCCUUUCUACAAUUAUUCCAGUGGGCACCAGCCUGUCCUCUAAUUCAGUAUGAUUCUGAUACUGCUUAUGCUGGAGAUAGACUGUGAUCCACUGACAGAUACAGGUUGUGGCCCAUGCUUCUAACCUACCAGCUGUAAGUCAGGGUUCCCAUAAUCCCUCCUCAGGUGUGGGUAGUUUCCUAGAGCAGCUUUCAUAAUUCAUGAAAUGACUUUACUUACAUUUUAUGCAUUUAUCAUAAAGGAUGUCAAAAUAAUUCAGAUUGACAGACAGAUGGAAGAGAUACAUAGGGAAGGGGCAUAGAGCUUCCAUGGCCUCUCCAAGUAUGCACCCCACCUGCCCCGGCAGGGUGCCUCUGUAUGUUCAAGCUAUCUGAAAGUUCAUCCGAACCUUUUUGGGUUUUUAUGGCGGCUUCAUUAUACAAGGAGGAUUGAUUAGUUCAUUGGCCAUUGGUGAUUACCUCAACCUAGGACCUCUUCUGUCCCCUCCCCUUCCCAAUUUGGGGAGUGGGGCCAAAAGUCCCAACUUUAACAAUGCCUUGGUCUUUCUGGUAAAUAGCUUCCAUCCUGAAGCUAUCUAGGUGCCCCCAGCCCCAGGCCAUCUGAUCAUCAUACAAGAAAGACAACUUGUCACUCCAGAGAUUCCAAGUGUUUUAGAAGCUUAUGUCAGGAAACAAUUGAAGACUAAAUAUAUAUUUCACAGUGUCACAAACAUACUCUUGAGAAUUACAUAGAGCUCCAAUCUAAUUUGGGCUCCAUCACUUGCCAUUUGUGCAACCUUGAAUAAGUUGUUAGUUUCCCUGAAUAGUUCUCUGGUAAAGAAAAAAGUAAUUGUGUCAGGUUGUUAUGAAAAUUAGAUAGGAGAGCUAUGUGAAGGACCCUGCACAGUGCUGGUAACAAAAGUGUUUGGUAAGUGCUACAUUUUUUGCUCUCAAGAUCAUAGGAGCUCCCUUAAUGUCCCCCAAAUCAUAAAAUGUGUAUCCUAGUCAAUCUUAAAAGUCAUCUACCUGGGGCCAGUACUGUGGCAUAGUGGGUAAAGCUGUAGCCUGCAGUGCCAGCAUCCCGUAUGGGUACCAGUUUGUGUCCUGACUGUUGCACUUGCGACCCAGGUCUAUGCUAUGGCCUGGGAAAGCAGUGGAAGAUGGCACAAGUGCUUGAAACCCUGGACCCACAUGGGAGACCUGGAAGAAGCCUUGGGCUCCUGGCUUCAGAUUGGCCUGGCUUCAGCCAUUGCGGCCAUUUGGGAAGUGAACCAGCAGAUAGAAGAUCUCUCUCUCUCUCUCUUUUUCUGCUUCUCUGUAACUGUCUUUCAAAUAAAUCUUUAAAAAAAAAAGUCAUCCACCUUGGAGCCGAUGCUUUGGCAUAGUGGGCUAAGCCUCUGCCUGCAGUACCAGCAUCCCAUAUGGGUGCUGAUUACUGUCCUGGCUGCUCUUCUGAUCCAGGUCUCUGCUUAUGGCCUGGGAAAGUUGUGGAAGAUGGUUCAAGUGCUUGGAACCCUGUACCUGUGUGGAAGACCCAGAAUAAGCUCCUGCCUCCUAGCUUCAGAUCGGCCCAGCUCCAGCCGUUGCAGCCAUCUGGGGGGUGAACCAGUGGAUGAGUGGAUGGAAGACCUUUAUCUUUCUCUGUUUUUCUCUCUGUAAUUCUACCUCUCAAAUAAAUAAAUCUUACAAAUAUAUAUAUAUAAACACAUGCCAGUCUGUUCAUUAAAAAAAAAAAAAAGUCAUCUACCUUGAAUCUUUAUGGUAAAGUAUUCCUUUUAAACUGAAUGUAUCUAUAGUACAUUUUUUUUUCCCCUAAGGAAGUUAAAUUUCUUUUUCACAGAAGUGUUCACAUCUUUAGCUUCAAACUGAACAAAAAAAGAUAAAUAGUAUGUAUUGUUUGGUUUGUAUGAAACAGUAAUUAAGCAAGUCUCAGUCAAAGCAGGUAAAAGAUCUCCAAGGACUAACAUCAGAAAAGGUGAUAGCACUCUGACCUCAGAAUCAGCCCUUGAGGCAUAUGGAUCUGACUGAAAAGCUCAUGAGAGCAUUUAGGUAUGGAAAGCCAAGAUACUGUGGUAAAAAAUGAUCUACAUGAAGGAUCUCUGUGAGUGAGACCCCAGUGGAAAGAAGGGGCCACAAAGAAGGAUGUACUUUUCUCUGAAGGGAGGAGAGUUUGGCUAUGACCCUGUCUAAAUAUUGACAGUUUGUGGACUCAAAGGGCUUCCAUAGUCUUGGUAGCUCAUGUCAAGAGCCUGGGGUGAUCACUGACAUCAUAUAUAAGAAUGAAAUUGUUAAAUCAACAACAGGAGUUACUGUGCACUUGCUCCACAUACAGGACCUCUGUUCUUAAUGUGUUGUACUCUGAGAAUCAACAGUGAAACAUGUCUUCGAGCAGUACUUUAUACUUUGUGUGUCUGUGUGGGUUCAAACUGUUAAAAUCUUUACUUAGUAUAGAGUUGAUCUGUAUAUAAAAAUAAGUAAAAACGAAUUUUAAUGAAUAGAAUGGGAGAGGGAGUAGGAGGUGGGACGAUUUGGGGGUGGGAGGGCAGAUAUGGGGGGAACAACCGCUAUAUUCCAAAAGCUGUGUCUUUGAAAUUUAUAUUUAUUAAAUAAAAGCUUUCAGAAAAGAAAAGAAAAGAUGAACCAGAGUGCCUAAAAACUUUAGUAUGGGCCAGGCCAUGCAGGAGUGUUGUAACAGCAACAAAGGUAGAUAGCAAGAUAGAAGUUAGAGUUAGUGCUCUGGGCAGACCAGAACAGGUUAUAUUAGAGAAGUCUUCUAAAACUGUGUUGGACACACUGAGAUUUGAAUUAAUCCUUCGUAUUUAUUUCUAUUUGUAACAGGUUGAGUAGGUAAAAACCAGUGUUCAUAGAAGUUGACAAACUGUUUUGUUUCUCAAUCUUUUCAUGCCAUUGCUUCUAAAACACUGAUAUUUAUGGUGAAUAUCUUGUUUUAAAUAUCACCUAAGCAAAUUAAAUCAUAUUUCCUUAUGCUGCAGUCACUUAAUGACUUCAUCCUGUGGUGAGUUGGCAUGUGAUUUGAGAUAGCUCUCAGUGCUAAUGGACUAUUUGAAGGAGUUAAAGACACAAAGACAGUAACAUUUUCAGGACAAAAGUGUACAUGCAAUAGGCCCCUUGAUAGAACAAAUGAGAACGCUGUUUUUUUAAUGACCUUUUGCUAAUGCGUUAAGCAGUAUGACCUCAUAUCCUUAUAUGUAAAUGAAAGUGUCAUAGUCAUUUAAGUUCUUUUUCCUCUGUGAUUCCACCCAGUUAUUUGUUUUAUUAUUGGUGUAUGUCAGUAGAGCACAGUAUUUAGUAGCGUGAGUUCUAGGUUAAAGCAUCUAGAUUCAUUUGUAAAAUGGGUUUGGUUUAUCUCUUAAAUCUUAUCAGGAUUUGAUUAGAUAAUCCAGACAAGUCAGCAUAGGCAUUACCUGGCAUGUAUCAAACACUCAGGAAAUAUCCCAUUCUUCAAAACCCAGUUCAAAUGUUGCCUUUUUUUUUUUUUAAGAUUGAUUUAUUUAUUUGAAAAAGUUAUGGAAAGAAAGGAAGAGACAGAGAUCUUCCAAGAACUUGAGCCAUUCUGCUACUUUCUCAGGCCAUUAGCAGGGAGCUGGAGUGGAAGUGGUACAGCCAGGACUCAAACUGGAACCCAUAUGGGAUGCCAGCAUUACAGGCCAUGACUUAACCCGCUGUCCCACAGCAUUUGGCCCAUUAGCUGCUGCUUAAUUUAUUUAGUGGUUAUAACAUAUGAGCCUUCAUUUCCUAUGAGGGUUUGGGCCAGGUCAUUUCCCAAUUACCGUAUUUUAAAGCAGCCUCUGAAAAUCCUCAUAACUUCUAAUUUCUCCCCUCCCUGUUCUUAUUGGACUUUGUCUUUUUGAUAAAUAUUUUCUUCCAGCAUUGUUUGAUGUUUUCCUCAUUUGAUUUACUUUUUUAAAAUGUCUCAUGUAAUGACUGAAUUAAGCUGCAGUGUAAGUAGCAGAAAGCCCCACAACAGUAGCUUUAAAAAGAUGGGGGCUCUUAUAGAGUUCCCAAGUUGGCUUUGGGGCAUUGCCACCAUUACAUCCUUAAAAUAGAUGGCAGGAGAAGUCAGAGGCCAUGUUGCCCCUGUCAGGAAACUCCCAGCUUGUGGCUUAUUUGCCACAACUGUAUUUUAUGAAUGGUUCCUAAUCAUGGGGGUCUUCAAAAGGUUCAUGGAAAUGUUUUUGGGUUUAAAAAAAUGCAUGGAUUUCAGAAGGGUUUUGCCCCUAAAUAAAUUUUUAAUUCCUUUUUUCCACAAAUUUUUUUUUUAUUUGACAGAUAGUUAGACAUUGAGAGAGAGACAGAAAGAUCUUACGUUGUUGAAAGAUCUCCCCAAAUGGCUGCUGCCGCUGGAACUACGCCGAUCCGAAGCCAGGAGCCAGGUGCUUCCUCCUGGUCUCCCAUGUAGGUACAGGGGCCCAAGCACUUGGGCCAUCCUCCACUGCCUUCCUGGGCCACAGCAGAGAGCUGGACUGGAAGAGGAGCAGCUGGGAUUAGAAUCCGGCACCGCAGGCAGAGGAUUAACCAAGUGAGCUACGGCGCCGGCCCCCUCCACAAAUUUAAAGUCCCUUUGUAGUUAUCUUGCUGGGCACAUUGUCACUAUGAACAAGAAGUUUGGUUUGGAUCAUUGUUCUGACUCUUAACAAGUAGACCUUUUCAGGCAUUUAAGUUGCCACUUUUCCUAAAUCUCAGAGGAUUUAGGAAGGCUGUAAGGCUGAAGAACACCAAGUGUAGAUAACAUGUCUGGAGAUGAGCUCGUUUUCAGGAAUCUUGCUGACAUGGUGGACUGUACUAAGUCAUCCUACCAUCACCGUACCAUAGGUCCAGAUUCAGAGAUGACAGAGAAAACAGAAAAAAAAAUACACACACACACAUGCUAUUGACUACACACACACACACAUGCUAUUGACUACAAAAGAAAAGAGGCAAUUCUAGCUGCCAGAAAUGAGAAAACAGUGGUACAGUAGUCACCUGAGGAGCUAAAAUUGCACUGCCCAAGGAAAUGGUCACCUUGGCUAUAAGCCAGGUGGUCUGUGGGAUUUUUUAGAGCAAGAGAUGUAUCCUGACAAUACAGGGAGGGGCAGGGGACUGAGGCCUACACAAAACUAAGACCCCAGAAGGUGCUGCAGUCUCAGGAAAGGGGGUAAGCAGAAUUCUACCCAACAGUCCAGGGAAACAACAAAACUGAACCCAAGACUUUGAGCUAGAAAGGAAGAUUUCCCUGGGAAACAGUUGAAAUUCAGUUUUACUGUCAGAGUACUCAUGAUGUUUCACAUCUGUGUAGUGUGUCAGGUUAAGUGUUUGCUUUAAUGAAACCACAAGAUAAAAGUGUCUCUGAGGCUUCUAAGGUAAUGUUAUUGGGGAAAGGAAUUGACUGGUAUAAAUAUCAGACACAUUUGAAGAAAAUUUCUUAAAACAGAGGAAUAAGUUAGAGAACAACUAAAAGUGGCAAAAUGAAAGUAAGUACGUGGAUGAUGUAAUGUGCAUGUAUAGCUUAGGAGUUUAAGGAAAGAAUAGAAGGGACAAGGCAAUUAGGAACUACCUAAGGUGAUUACUCACGUGCAACUCUUGGUGGACAAGGGUACUCAUUGAAGGCUGGGGCAGGGUGAUGGGUUGCAUUAUUAGCCAUAGAGCAUGUUCUGCAAGCUCAGCAAAGUUGCUGUCCUCAGUGAGGUGCCACCUCGCCUGAAAGCUUACUCCAAAAAGCAGUAUUCUGUUACUCAUAACAAAGCCUGUGCUCAUGGCUGGACAAGAACCAUUAGUCCCCCAUGCUGAAGGGUGAAAAGUACAGGCCCAGCUGGUUCACUGGCCUGUUCCUGCAAGGAUGAGGAGCAUUGCUAAUGGCCAACCUGAAAACCUUCACUUUCACUGUUGGAGACCGAUUGUUGACAUUUAUAAUUCUAGUUAACAAAACAUUAGUGUUACCAUAAAAGUUUCUGACAUUUAAAAUGUAAGUUAAACACUAUAUUGAUUGAGGAUAUAGAAAACAGCGCCUGGAAUUAUUUACACAGGAAUAUAGGUUCUGUGAUUAGAACAUUGGACUGUUCUUUGUUGCUAAGAAUACUAGCAGGAUGUAAGUAAGGAUUUUAUAUAAUUUACAUAGCAUGCUGGAAUGUUUUAAAUAUAAACUAACAAAUAUCUUUGUUGGAAGUGAUGAAGUUUAUAGAAUUGAUUAAAGCCAUAUCAAAAAUGACAUUUGCCUCCAGAAAGAGAACCAAAGUAACAGUGCUUAAGCUGUUAAGAUUGUAUUUUUCUGUCAGAUGGAGGGUGUCCAGUGCAGACAGUACAAGGUUAGUUGGAUUCUAGACUUUUUGGCUCUGUAUGUUUCAUUAUCUUUACCUUGUGACUACCACAGUGCUCACACUUCAGGUAAGGGGCAAGGACCAAGAGAGACUCUGCAGAUGUGAUGAUGAGAACUUGAGGGGAACGUGAGACUUUGUCUCUAGAAGGCAUCCACGGAAGGAUGUUGAAAGGAGAAAUCAGGAAUAAAUGAUUAAUGCAAAUGGAUAAAUUCUAAAGUGGGAUCAUUAGGUGAACAUUCCUAUAGCUCUGAAAGCUAACAGCCAACCUGGGAGAGGGUGUCCAUGAACUGGUUUUCUUGUGAUCCCGGCCAUUCACAAGGAAUGGCCAGGUGUGUCUUCUUGAGUGCACCUGUGAAGACUUGAGAGCUAGAAGUUUGAUCCUGCUUCCACUGAGGUAACUGUGCACAGUGGCACCUGGUAAGGUCCCUUCUGUUCACGCUGCAGCUGAUCUGAAGAGGAUCUUUCUGUGAUCGGCCGACUCAGGAAUUCCCAAUAUUGGAGCUUCUGCUAAAAACUCCUUCCUUCCUUGGAACACCUUUUGUAGCUCCCCUGGCCAGCACAGUGUCUGUGUCAGGGGCUUUUUAAAGCCCUUACAAAGGCUUGGAAUCCAAAUCUUGGAAUCCGUAUUCCACAGAAUCUUGCUGUUCCCAGAAAUCUCCUUAGUUGCCUUUUAACUCUUUGAAGACCAUAUGUAUACAAUAGCUUCCCUUCUCUUGACUGAGAGAGUAAACUUUCGUAGAGUUAGAACAUAUCCCAGGUAAUCUACCUCUAGUUGAGAAACUUGGGCUUUGUUUGGGAAGUUUUGUAUCCUCACUAUCCCAGAUUCUGAGUUUAGUGGGAUGCAGAAGAAAUUCUCUCUUAGGUAAAGGUUUAGCACACAGUAAGAUGCAUUGAAACUGUCUCAUUAGUAGUCCUGAGACCUUUAACCAUUCUGUACUCUGUAUUUGAUCUUACAUCAAAACAUACAAGAUAGGAAUAUCAUAAGGAAACAUGGAUUUACGAGUUUACAUUUGAGACACUUAAUAAACUUUAAAGAAAUACCUAAGAAUACAGGCAAUGGAGUUUGACACUAAACAUAACUAAAGCUUGUGACACAUAAGAAUAUAACACACUAGAACAAGGUAAAUCUUUGGGAAUAAGUUUUACCAUUAAUGCUAACAUGUAGCUCUUUAAGGACACAGGUCCUUCAUGAGAAGUUAGUACACAGUGACUCUUGUUGUUAAUUUAGUAAUAAACACUUUUAGGUAUGACAUCAGUGAUCAUCCAAGGCUCUUGACAUGGGCUGCCAAGGCUAUGGAAGCCUUUUGAAUCCACAAACUUCAUCAGUAUUUAGACAAAGCCAUAACCAAAGUGGAAGUUCUCGCCUUCCUUCAGAGAAAAGUACAUCCUUCCUUAAUGAACCACGUCUUUCCACUGGGGUCUCACCCAGGGAGGUCCUCCAUGUAGGGACACUUUUUGCACGAGUGUCCUGGCUUUCCAUGCCUGAAAUGCUCUCGUGGGCUUUUCAGACAGACCAGAAUGCCUUUUAGGGCUGACUCUGAGGUCACUGUGUGCUACUUACAGCAGUUGCCAUUCUAUGAGUCUGCUGUAUGGACUGCACCCCAUGUUGGAGGAUUUACUCCUCUUUAAUUCUAGUUAUUAUCAUUAUCAGAUACUCAAUCAUAUUUAUUAUUAGCAGUAAACACUUAAUCCUAUUGACAUGAUCAGUUUAACAAUCAAUCCCAGCUAUAUGAUCACUUUAAAACUUAAUCCUAUCUAUAUAUGUUCACUUUAAAAUUUAAGAUGUUACUUUCACCAUGCAGCCGAAGGGGAUUUGUGAGCUUUUAAACUGUACCCUUAGAAGUAAGUCUGUAGGAAAGCAUGCAGGGCUAUCCAGCUUUAUAGUUUUCUUUGUAGGACCCGAGAAGAUAAGAACAGACAUAGCUCCUCAGGAGCUUAAUUAUCCUCAAGCAUUUGACACGGAUACGUGUGACUAAGCGACUUCUGUUCUGCAUUACAAAUCAAGUUUUGAAAUGUCAUUAACACUAAGAGACCCAUUUAUCAGCCUUGUUGCACCAUUUCCCAACCCAUAGGUAGGCCAUACAGUAUUGCAAAGAGUGACCAUCCUUUCCUUAGUAAUAUCACCUAGCUUAAGGGCCUCCCAAUUUUUAAGUAUAGAUCCUACGGGCGUCUCCAAGGGAGCAGAUGUAGAGCUGGCCAUAGUUAAAUCAUCUCAUAACCUGAGAGACAAAAGGUAAAUAGGGCUAAGCUUGGGCUCAGUUAUAUCUCCGAACAUGUGCCUUAACAAGUAAUCUGACAUCCCAGAGUUCCUAUACCUACUAUAGAGUUUAAUAUAAUAUAGUUUAAUACAUAUGUUAUUUAUAUAAGUUACAUACAUUAUACAUAUUAUGUGUAUCACAUAUAUAUCAUAUGUAAUGCAUAUGUGCUACAUACAUUUAUGCCGUGUAUAUAUGUAUAUGUAUUAUAUACACACACAUAUAUAAGAAGGGGGUGAAUCUAUAGAUGUAUAUGUAUUGUAUACACACACACAUAUAUAAGGGGGUGGGUCAAGCGCAGGGCUAUUUAAAACACCUGGGCAGAGCCGCAAAACAGGCCGAGCUUUAACCCACUGCACCACAGUGAUGGCUCCCUACCUCAUUUAAUUUUUACAGAAACCUUGUGUUUAGCUGUUUUGGUUCUGAAGGAGAAGGCUACACAGCCACACACAAGUUUUACAAGGCAGAGUUGACUCUGGGAGCCCAGUUCUGGAUACUCCGCAUUUACUGAGUGCCUGUGGUUUGUCUGGGAUUGUGUGAUACAGCAGGCCUCUUCAGAAGAGGCACAAGGCCUAUGCCAAACGAGGGUCAAAGAGCCACUGAGCUCAUUAUAGAGACCGUAUUUCAAAUUCUCUGUCUCCGCUUCUCUCUGUUUUAUGACGAAGUAUGGCAGGUGACACUUAGGAUCCUUUUCUGUCCUCCCUCUACAAACUCUUCCAGGCACUGCUCUGCAUGGCAGUGGGAGGAGCCAAAGGAGAGGCACCCUGGUGGAGAGGGGUGUGACAGAGGCUCACUCAGCUUCACUUGCAAUCGCAAGAGCCCUUUAAGCCAGGGCUGCGCAGCCUCACUGGUGAGGUAUGGGAAGGUUGCUGAGGGAGGAGAAUCAAGCUUGAGCAAAGGAGAGUGAGUGUCAGCUGCCCCUGAAAACUGUGGUCUGUAAAGGGAGGGAGAGGACAAGCAUUGUGGGUGUCUGGCGGGGGGGGGGGGGGGGUGUUGCUUUUUAUUUUAAUUUUAUUUAUUUGAAAGAGAGAUCUCAUCUGCCAGUUCUCUUCCCCAGAUGCCUGCAAUAGCUGGGGCUGGACGAGACCGAAGUCAGGAACUCAAUCUAGGUCUCCCAUGUCGGGUGGUAGGGACCCUACUACCUGAGCCAUCACCCACUGCUUCCCAAGCUGUAUGUACAUUAGUGGGGAGCUGAACAUGGGAAUGACGCCGAGACUGAAACCCAGGCAUGGUAUAUGGGAUAUGGUGUCCCUAAGCAGGUUCUUAACCAUUGCACCAAACCCUGACACUGGGCUUUGAAUGAGUGCAGCUUGCUCUGGGGAAAGUUGGGUCAUGUUGAUGGCAUCCAGCUCAGCCCAUUUCUCUCUUUGUCUUCUCAGGUCUAGCUUCAGACGAUGGCCAGGCCCGCUUCUGGGGAUUUAAAGCUUCAGGCAGCCCACUCCAUCCCAAGCCCCCUGCUGCCUUCACAGUCUGCCUCCCAGGGCCACUUGAUUCCUCUUUGCAAGGUUGACCUAUGGUGGAAAGGCCUUGGGACAAAGCCCCACUUAUGUAGCUUUUGGACAGGAUACACAGGACCAACGUGGAGAAGGGCCCAGGACCUGGGCUGUGAGCUCCUUCAGGACAGAGGCUGUAUCUGUGUGUCCGCAUCCACUCACACACUGCGGUUUCUGAGACCCAGAAGACGGAAGAAUGCAUGAACCUGGCCCUCCCAACCCCAUUUUACAGAUGGAGAAACCAAGGCUCGGAGAGGGGCUAUGAGCUGCUCUAGGUUCUGAAGCUAACUAACUAGUAGCACACCGGGAUCUCCCAAAUCCAAGUCCUGUUAUUCUCAUUACAGCUGCCUGAACUUUUCUUCUGCAUUCCUUACCCCCCUACCCUGGCUUAAGGUCACGCACAAGGACAUGCAUUUGGACACACACACACACACACACACACACGUAUCUACACAACCAUUUACUCGGAGCUGUAGAUGUUUGUUCUUUCUUCUUUCUUUCCACCAGCCGAAGAUAAGGUUGAAUUGGUGAAAA